Mangifera indica (mango) is the source of this 856-nucleotide long non-coding RNA. RefSeq lists it as uncharacterized. The transcript has 2 exons. NCBI's taxonomy places the organism in Eukaryota, Viridiplantae, Streptophyta, Magnoliopsida, Sapindales, Anacardiaceae. The record is from RefSeq and is a predicted model, not a curated record.
AAUUUCCUGAAAUCAAAAGGUGAAUCAUUUACACUAAAUCUGAAGCCAAUUUACAAAAAUUUAUGAUACAAGGCAUCUUGAUAGAUCUAUUAUAAAGAUAAAACUAUGAUAGAGUUAUCAUGUAAUUUGUGAAAAGCUCUCUCAAAAAAAGAGUAUUGUUAUUAGAAUCAAUGGGUGAUAAGAUGAGAUUGGACCAACAAUGAUGAUAAUGUCCAAAUGACUGUUGAAUAUUAAAUGUAAGGCCAUAAACCUAGUUGUCUUGCUAUAAAGGUAGAUAGUAAAACACCUACUAUUGUUAAAUAUUAUAUGUUGAGAUUAAUGAUAUUUACAUUUUCCAUUCUACAUUUAUUUUUCAUUCACCAUCAGCAUGAGCUCGUAUGCUCGAUGAUCUGGUGUGCAUUGAGACUUGGUAGAAGUCAUUUCUAUGCUAAUAUCCUCAUUUUACAGGAUAUUAAAUGUAAGGGCAUAAACCAAGUUGUCUUUGUAUAAAGAAAAUGCAAGGCUAAUAGUAGCACAAAAGCCAACCAGUUGGUUGCACAAAAUGGAAUGAGGGGGAUGACACAAAAACAAGGCAGGACCACUUGGGAAAAAGAAGACACGUGGCUAAUGCAGACUAAGGAAUUUUUUAGACAAUUAAAGGUGAGGGAAGAUAAAAGCAAAAGGGGAGAGACGGCAGAGAAGAAAAUUGCAGAAGAAAUCAGUGAGGGAGAGUUCCAGCCUCUCGAGUUUUGGAGAGAGUUAUGUUCUAUUUUAAGUUUUUGCUAAAGUUUGUGUUCUGUGUUGCAAAAACAAUAUUAGCGAGAAAUUAUCUCUGUACUUCUGAAAAUCAAUAUCAAUACAAUCAGUAUUUUUUGUA